UACAGAGGUCUCAAGCGUUGUUCGGAUUCAUUGGGCGUAAAGGGUGCGUAGGUGGCGCCGUAAGUCGGGUGUGAAAUUUCGGAGCUUAACUCCGAAACUGCAUUCGAUACUGCGGUGCUUGAGGACUGGAGAGGAGACUGGAAUUUAUGGUGUAGCAGUGAAAUGCGUAGAGAUCAUAAGGAAGACCAGUGGCGAAGGCGGGUCUCUGGACAGUUCCUGACACUGAGGCACGAAGGCUAGGGGAGCAAACGGG
RNAcentral lists this ribosomal RNA (253 nucleotides) under uncultured bacterium. Its description in RNAcentral is "partial 16S ribosomal RNA". It matches the Rfam family "Bacterial small subunit ribosomal RNA", at positions 524 to 776 of the family's 1533-position model. The record is from RNAcentral.